Long non-coding RNA from Canis lupus familiaris (dog), 1836 nucleotides. RefSeq lists it as uncharacterized. NCBI's taxonomy places the organism in Eukaryota, Metazoa, Chordata, Mammalia, Carnivora, Canidae. The record is from RefSeq and is a predicted model, not a curated record. The transcript has 4 exons.
AGCCAGGCUCUCUGAAGAGAAAAGCUAUUUUCUCAGAACGCCUCCAGAGCCGGGUUUUAGAUCUCAGGAGCCGAAGCUGGGAGGACCCAUGGGAGGGUGAUCCGUAAGGCUCGACAUGGAGACCCCCACGGGAGCAAGAGGUGGGUGCAGAGUGGUGGAGAGAGGUGGCCAAGGGAAGAGGUCCGGUUAGCGGGCCCAGGGCGGCCCACCAGGCCCACCCUCUCUGGCAAGGUGCCCAGAGAGCAACGGAGAGUCUGCAGACUCCGGGAGGCCCAGCCGGGCUGGAGUCCUGAGGUGACCUGGUGGGGCGAGGGGGCCACUGGAGUGGGCCCUGGGGACCAGGACCAGUGAGCGCGGCACAUCACUCAAGGACCAGCAGACGCCAAAGCAGGAUGCCCAGAGUCCCAAUGGCAGUGCUACUCCUCAGGAGGCACAGAGGGCCCAGGGGGCAGCUGAGUGACAAGAGGUGAGGAGUGAAAAUUGCAAUUUGAGAACCUCUUUGGUCAGCUCUUGGAAGAAAACUAAUUCUCUCCUGUUAAAACAAGCUCAAGGUUUUUCAAGAAGCCAGCGUGAGCAGCUUGGAUUCCAAAGCCGAGACAGAAACGGGGCCGUGCUUGCCAUUCUGCUACGAGCUGGACGGGGUUCUCAUCUGCUAGAGCGGGAUUUCACAGUCACCAGGACAUCGCCAUGUGUCGCUGCAACACUCGGAGGGUACUCUGAACUGGGAUCCGGCUCUGGCUGCUUUCCCUGCCAGGCCCCAAACUGGCUUGCGUACAAUUUAGCCUGCAUGUUCCACCGUGCUCUUCAUUUACAGUAAGAGAAAAACCUCGGCUCGGGCGAGGAAGUCAAAGACCACGAGGCCAUGGCAAUAAGCAUGAAGUUGAUUUCACUUGGUUUCACAAAAGCCACUUCGGCCUUCCUGACUGAUGUAACGACACCGGCAAAUUGUCCUUGAUUAAACUGUUAUUAUUCUCUUGCAUUUAUUUAGCUGUUUGCAUACUCCUCGGGAAGAUAAAUGUGUUGGGGCAAAAGGAAAGAUCCCAUCCUUUCCCGAUUGUACUACAGGUACAUUUUUUUCCUCUCCUAACUCUGACCUUCUUGGGGCUCCUGUGAUAUCUCCCCAAUAUGUCCCAUAUUCCAGAACUUCCCAACAAAAAGAGUGGCCAUUAGAUACAAACAAGCAAAAAAAAAAAAAAAAAAAAAAAAAGCUUAGUUUUUUAGGGAAAAAUUAGACAAUAUGCCAUAUACAGCUUUUGACUUUGGGAAAAUUGUGGUUGGGUCUGGUAAUUUCUACUUGCCAGGAGGGAAUUUUAAAUCAGAUGCCCCUAGCCUCCUACUCUAGGGAUAGAAAGGCUUUCAUUUGGGGGCCGAAGCUAUAGUACUGGGUGCCGGGAACUGUGUGAUUUGGAGGUUCAUAGAAGGCACUGAGGAACCAGCUUAUAAAAAUGGAGGCUUUCUCUUUUUGUAGCAAAUAUACACCAUUCUAUUUCGGUAUAGAGGAAAUAUGGACGGCCUCAACGAUCGCUUUUCAUGCACUAUUUAGAUUUUGAGCAUCUCAGAAGUCCUUUUAUGCCUUCUGCUCUCCUUGGGAUGCUGGAGAGAAUAAAGAUUUCUCCUUCCCAAAACGCACGUUUCAUGAUAGGAACUGUCACCAAACUCAAUAAACACCCGAAGCCCGCACACCUUCUCACUCAUCCGCCCCCAAAAGAGACCCAAACCGCUUUGGGGUGGGGGUGGGGAGGGCUUGCUGCGUGUGUAUGCGCUGGUGCGCCCGUGAUAUUAAGCAGCUAACAACGGCCUGAGAAUUAAGUUACCACAAUUAGGAAUUAGAAGCAG